RNAcentral lists this ribosomal RNA (450 nucleotides) under uncultured bacterium. RNAcentral's name for it is "bacterial SSU rRNA". It matches the Rfam family "Bacterial small subunit ribosomal RNA", at positions 354 to 796 of the family's 1533-position model. The record is from RNAcentral.
GUGGGGAAUAUUGGACAAUGGGCGCAAGCCUGAUCCAGCAAUGCCGCGUGUGUGAAGAAGGCCUGCGGGUUGUAAAGCACUUUAAGCCGGAAAGAAGGCCGCAAGGAUAAUACCCUUGUGGAUUGACGUUACCGGCAGAAUAAGCACCGGCUAACUCCGUGCCAGCAGCCGCGGUAAUACGGAGGGUGCGAGCGUUAAUCGGAAUUACUGGGCGUAAAGCGCGCGUAGGCGGUUCGUUAAGUCCGCUGUGAAAGCCCUGGGCUUAACCUGGGAACUGCAGUGGAAACUGGCGGGCUAGAGUAUGGUAGAGGAGAGUGGAAUUUCCGGUGUAGCAGUGAAAUGCGUAGAGAUCGGAAGGAACACCAGUGGCGAAGGCGGCUCUCUGGACCAAUACUGACGCUGAGGUGCGAAAGCGUGGGGAGCAAACAGGAUUAGAAACCCGAGUAGUCC